UCCCUUAGUAACUGCGAGUGAAGCGGGAAAAGCUCAAAUUUAAAAUCUGAUGGUCUUUGGCCAUCCGAGUUGUAAUCUAGAGAAGUGCUGCCCACACUGGACCAUGUAUAAGUCUUCUGGAAUGAAGCGUCACAGAGGGUGAGAAUCCCGUCUUUGACAUGGACUCCCAGUAUGUUGUGGUGUGCUCUCAAAGAGUCGAGUUGUUUGGGAAUGCAGCUCUAAAUGGGUGGUAACCUCCAUCUAAAGCUAAAUAUUGGCGAGAGACCGAUAGUGAACAAGUACCGUGAGGGAAAGAUGAAAAGAACUUUGGAAAGAGAGUUAAACAGUACGUGAAAUUGUUGAAAGGGAAACGCUUGAAGUCAGUUGCAUUGGUUGGGGAUCAACCUAGCUCUUUUGCUUGGUGUACUUCCUGUUUGAUGGGCCAACAUCAGUUUUGACUGCUGGAAAAGGGCGGAGGGAAUGUGGCACCUCUGGGUGUGUUAUAGCUCUCUGUCAUAUAUGGCAGUUGGGACUGAGGAAUGCAGCGCGCUACAAGGCCGGGUUUCGACCACGUUCGCGCUUUGGAUGUUGGCAUAAUGGCUUUAAUCGACCCGUCUUGAAACACGGACCAAGGAGUCUAACAUGCCUGCGAGUGUUUGGGUGGAAAACCCGAAUGCACAAUGAAAGUGAAAGUUGAGAUCCCUGUCAUGGGGAGCAUCGACGCCCGGACCUGAGC
Molecule: ribosomal RNA, 715 nt
Filed under: Amanita murrilliana
Lineage: Eukaryota; Fungi; Basidiomycota; Agaricomycetes; Agaricales; Amanitaceae
Description: LSU rRNA
Rfam family: Eukaryotic large subunit ribosomal RNA
Source: RNAcentral